UGAUCCCGUGCGGGAGAGUCCUCCGGAACCUCGGAGGGCGCCGAAGGAGCAAAUCCUCCCCGGAAUCUCUCAGGCCCCUGUACCGCACGGACGAG
This 95-nucleotide non-coding RNA is filed under the name Streptomyces turgidiscabies. Its description in RNAcentral is "Glycine sequence". It matches the Rfam family "Glycine riboswitch aptamer". From Rfam's summary of the family: This family represents the bacterial glycine riboswitch. Lineage: Bacteria; Bacillati; Actinomycetota; Actinomycetes; Kitasatosporales; Streptomycetaceae. RNAcentral also lists the same sequence under 1 other name. The record is from RNAcentral.